Molecule: ribosomal RNA, 450 nt
Filed under: uncultured bacterium
Lineage: Bacteria
Description: partial 16S ribosomal RNA
Rfam family: Bacterial small subunit ribosomal RNA
Source: RNAcentral
GUGGGGAAUUUUGGACAAUGGGCGCAAGCCUGAUCCAGCAAUGCCGCGUGCAGGAAGAAGGCCUUCGGGUUGUAAACUGCUUUUGUACGGAACGAAACGGUCCUGGUUAAUACCUGGGGCUAAUGACGGUACCGUAAGAAUAAGCACCGGCUAACUACGUGCCAGCAGCCGCGGUAAUACGUAGGGUGCGAGCGUUAAUCGGAAUUACUGGGCGUAAAGCGUGCGCAGGCGGUGCUGUAAGACAGGCGUGAAAUCCCCGGGCUCAACCUGGGAAUUGCGCUUGUGACUGCAGUGCUGGAGUACGGCAGAGGGGGAUGGAAGUCCGCGUGUAGCAGUGAAAUGCGUAGAUAUGCGGAGGAACACCGAUGGCAAAGGCAGUCCCCUGGGCCUGUACUGACGCUCAUGCACGAAAGCGUGGGGAGCAAACAGGAUUAGAAACCCCGGUAGUCC